GAAUAUUGGUCAAUGGGUGAGAGCCUGAACCAGCCAUGCCGCGUGCAGGAAGAAGGCCUUCUGGGUUGUAAACUGCUUUUUCCAGGGGAUAAAACGUCUAUGCGUAGAUAAUUGAAGGUACCUGGGGAAUAAGCCACGGCUAACUACGUGCCAGCAGCCGCGGUAAUACGUAGGUGGCGAGCGUUGUCCGGAUUUAUUGGGUUUAAAGGGUGCGUAGGCGGCCGUGUAAGUCAGUGCUGAAAUAUCCCGGCUUAACUGGGAGGGUGGCAUUGAUACUGCGUGGCUAGAGUACAGAUGAGGUAGGCGGAAUUGACGGUGUAGCGGUGAAAUGCUUAGAUAUCGUCAAGAACACCUAUAGCGAAGGCAGCUUACUAGGCUGUAACUGACGCUGAGGCACGAAAGUGUGGGGAUCAAACAGG
Molecule: ribosomal RNA, 419 nt
Filed under: uncultured bacterium
Lineage: Bacteria
Description: bacterial SSU rRNA
Rfam family: Bacterial small subunit ribosomal RNA
Source: RNAcentral